GUGGGGAAUCUUGCGCAAUGGGCGAAAGCCUGACGCAGCCAUGCCGCGUGAAUGAUGAAGGUCUUAGGAUUGUAAAAUUCUUUCACCGGGGACGAUAAUGACGGUACCCGGAGAAGAAGCCCCGGCUAACUUCGUGCCAGCAGCCGCGGUAAUACGAAGGGGGCUAGCGUUGCUCGGAAUUACUGGGCGUAAAGGGCGCGUAGGCGGACAGUUUAGUCAGAGGUGAAAGCCCAGGGCUCAACCUUGGAAUUGCCUUUGAUGCUGGCUGUCUUGAGUACGGGAGAGGUGAGUGGAACUCCGAGUGUAGAGGUGAAAUUCGUAGAUAUUCGGAAGAACACCAGUGGCGAAGGCGACUCACUGGCCCGUUACUGACGCUGAGGCGCGAAAGCGUGGGGAGCAAACAGGAUUAGAUACCCGUGUAGUCC
This 425-nucleotide ribosomal RNA is filed under the name uncultured bacterium. RNAcentral's name for it is "partial 16S ribosomal RNA". It matches the Rfam family "Bacterial small subunit ribosomal RNA", at positions 354 to 796 of the family's 1533-position model. The record is from RNAcentral.